Molecule: ribosomal RNA, 290 nt
Filed under: uncultured Bacillus sp.
Lineage: Bacteria; Bacillati; Bacillota; Bacilli; Caryophanales; Bacillaceae
Description: partial 16S ribosomal RNA
Rfam family: Bacterial small subunit ribosomal RNA
Source: RNAcentral
ACAAGCGGUGGAGCAUGUGGUUUAAUUCGAUGCUACGCGAAGAACCUUACCAGGUCUUGACAUCUUCUGCCAACCUAAGAGAUUAGGCGUUCCCUUCGGGGACAGAAUGACAGGUGGUGCAUGGUUGUCGUCAGCUCGUGUCGUGAGAUGUUGGGUUAAGUCCCGCAACGAGCGCAACCCUUAUUGUUAGUUGCCAGCAUUCAGUUGGGCACUCUAGCAAGACUGCCGGUGACAAACCGGAGGAAGGUGGGGAUGACGUCAAAUCAUCAUGCCCCUUAUGACCUGGGCUA